This 477-nucleotide ribosomal RNA is filed under the name uncultured Comamonadaceae bacterium. RNAcentral describes it as "bacterial SSU rRNA". It matches the Rfam family "Bacterial small subunit ribosomal RNA", at positions 91 to 578 of the family's 1533-position model. The record is from RNAcentral. Lineage: Bacteria; Pseudomonadati; Pseudomonadota; Betaproteobacteria; Burkholderiales; Comamonadaceae.
GUCAGUGGCAGACGGGUGAGUAACGCGUGGGAACAUACCUUUUGGUUCGGAACAACUCAGGGAAACUUGAGCUAAUACCGGAUAAGCCUUUCGAGGGAAAGAUUUAUCGCCAUUAGAGCGGCCCGCGUAGGAUUAGCUAGUUGGUGGGGUAAAGGCCCACCAAGGCUACGAUCCUUAGCUGGUCUGAGAGGAUGAUCAGCCACAUUGGGACUGAGACACGGCCCAGACUCCUACGGGAGGCAGCAGUGGGGAAUUUUGGACAAUGGGCGAAAGCCUGAUCCAGCAAUGCCGCGUGCAGGAAGAAGGCCUUCGGGUUGUAAACUGCUUUUGUACGGAACGAAAAGGUCUGCCCUAAUACGGCGGGCCCAUGACGGUACCGUAAGAAUAAGCACCGGCUAACUACGUGCCAGCAGCCGCGGUAAUACGUAGGGUGCGAGCGUUAAUCGGAAUUACUGGGCGUAAAGCGUGCGCAGGCGG